This 502-nucleotide ribosomal RNA is filed under the name Bacillus halotolerans. RNAcentral's name for it is "partial 23S ribosomal RNA". It matches the Rfam family "Bacterial large subunit ribosomal RNA", at positions 1 to 495 of the family's 2925-position model. Lineage: Bacteria; Bacillati; Bacillota; Bacilli; Caryophanales; Bacillaceae. The record is from RNAcentral.
GGUUAAGUUAGAAAGGGCGCACGGUGGAUGCCUUGGCACUAGGAGCCGAUGAAGGACGGGACGAACACCGAUAUGCUUCGGGGAGCUGUAAGCAAGCUUUGAUCCGGAGAUUUCCGAAUGGGGAAACCCACCACUCGUAAUGGAGUGGUAUCCAUAUCUGAAUUCAUAGGAUAUGAGAAGGCAGACCCGGGGAACUGAAACAUCUAAGUACCCGGAGGAAGAGAAAGCAAAUGCGAUUCCCUGAGUAGCGGCGAGCGAAACGGGAUUAGCCCAAACCAAGAGGCUUGCCUCUUGGGGUUGUAGGACACUCUAUACGGAGUUACAAAGGAACGAGGUAGAUGAAGAGGUCUGGAAAGGCCCGCCAUAGGAGGUAACAGCCCUGUAGUCAAAACUUCGUUCUCUCCAGAGUGGAUCCUGAGUACGGCGGAACACGUGAAAUUCCGUCGGAAUCCGGGAGGACCAUCUCCCAAGGCUAAAUACUCCCUAGUGACCGAUAGUGAAC